GAUGAACGCUGGCGGCGUGCCUAAUACAUGCAAGUCGAGCGAACGGACGAGAAGCUUGCUUCUCUGAUGUUAGCGGCGGACGGGUGAGUCACACGUGUAUAAUCUACCUAUAAGUCUGAGAUAACUUCGGGAAACCGUAGCUAAUACCGGAUAAUAUCUUGAACCGCAUGGUUCAAAAGUGAAAGACGGUCUUGCUGUCACUUAUAGAUGGAUCCGCGCUGCAUUAGCUAGUUGGUAAGGUAACGGCUUACCAAGGCGACGAUGCAUAGCCGACCUGAGAGGGGGAUAGGCCACAUGGGAACGUAGACAGGGUCCAGACGCCUGCGAGAGGCAGCAGUAGGGAAUCUUACGCAGUGGGCGGAAGCAUGGCGGAGCAACGCCGCGUGUGAGAUGAAGGUCUUCGGAACGUAAAAAUCUGUUAUGAGGGAAGAACAUAUGUGUAAGUAACUGUGCACAGAGUGACGGUACCUAGUCAGAAAGCCACGGCUAACUACGUG
This 497-nucleotide ribosomal RNA is filed under the name uncultured bacterium. Its description in RNAcentral is "partial 16S ribosomal RNA". It matches the Rfam family "Bacterial small subunit ribosomal RNA", at positions 28 to 507 of the family's 1533-position model. The record is from RNAcentral.